This is a long non-coding RNA of Sphaeramia orbicularis (orbiculate cardinalfish), 5500 nucleotides long. RefSeq lists it as uncharacterized. The transcript is spliced from 2 exons. Lineage: Eukaryota; Metazoa; Chordata; Actinopteri; Kurtiformes; Apogonidae. The record is from RefSeq and is a predicted model, not a curated record.
UCCUGCCCUGAAGACCCCUCUGUCUCUACGAGCAACUGUCAGAACGCUGACAAAAUCGAGCCGCUGACCAUCAGACGUCACUGCCUAAAAGCCCUGUUACUUAUGCAGCAUGAUCAUGUGCUCAGAUUCACACCAUGACACCUGCUGUAUCAUGUAACAAAAGCAUUGCAUCAUGGAACUGUCGACUCAUCUCUGUCAUUCACGCUUGGUUUUCAUGAUAGCAAUGCAGGCUAGUGUUUUAAUGAGAUAUUAUUAUAAUACUGUUGUACAGACUUGGCACAAUUGUUAGUUUCACCUGGAUUGCAUCAUGCCAAAAAAUACAUUUUACUGAAGCGUCAGCAGUCACAGUUAAAGAUUUCCAUUGUUUGUUUCAGGUUUAAAAUAUGGCUUAUCACUAUUAAAUUUUGGAAAAAAAAAACAUCUAUGUAUCUUUAGCUGCCCACAAGUUUUCAGUGAAUUUGUAAAUAAUCCUUUUCAAUGUUGAAACGCAAACAUGUGAAGUAUGUUCAGUGACUGACUGACUAAUACUGGAAGCACAUUUGAAUAGAGGAAGAUUUAAGAGCCUGAAAAUGAUUCAUAUACAGAAAAAUCAACAAGAAAGUGCUUUUAAUGUGUUUACAUCAUUCUUAACAUUUUUUUAAACUGAAGCAAAUAUGAGAAAAAUUUUAAUUUCACUGCAUUUUUUUUUAUUUGCGUCAUGUUGCCUCAAAAGUUUUAUAAUUUUAUCUGUAGUCAAGAUAUGCCUACUGAGAAGAAACAGAUAAAAUGAUAAAAAGCUGUUAAUCUCUUAUUGGGGAAGACAUCUAACAUGUCUGUGAUGACUAGUGCCAUGCAGAAUAAACAUACAGACACACAUCUGGCCUGUGACCCUCAGUUCUCAUAAAGCAAACUUCAAGAGAGAGGGCAAUGCCCAGAGCAGGAUAUGAGCGCGAACGUGUCCCUUUAAAAGCUGCCAGCCAGAGCCGAACAGAGGGAAGGAAUGUUCUGAGGCCUUAACAAAACCAGAUGCCCCAGCUUACUCUCCCAUGCACAGAUGCUCUCUGUUGCCUUCACUGACUCUUUCAGUUCUUACUUUAACACCACAGAUGGAAUCAAGGACUGAGGUGACUCCUUCGUCUGCCUGCUUACGGCGCAUCCCCCACGUCGACUACCUUCAGCGUGGUCUGGCCAGGUCUCUGUCUGGUCCCCAAUCUCCUUAUCUUCUUGUCUGCUCGUCUUUGCUUCUCAGUCCUUAUGCUUGGCAGACCUUUUCCUCAUCCCCCUCCACCCCCGCUAGCUGCUCUCACUUCAGUGCCACAUGCAUACACAUGGGAUUAUUCCACUCUCCCUCCUGUACAUCCUCUUCAGGUUUGUUUCAGGUCAGCGCCUCGCCUGCCUGAUCCGCUCCCAGGGAAUCUGCCUUUGAGUGCAUUAAGAGAUUGUGGAAGAGGGGAUGCAAAGGGCACCUGCUGUAAACAGGAUGGAGCCAUUUUUCUAUCUGAUUGUACUGUCUAUCUGUGCAUGCAUGAGUGUGCACAUCCCUUCCCUCCCACCUUUCCAAUCCAGAUGUGCCACACCCUCUCUGCACCCGGGUGGCCUAUACCUGUACCUGAACCAGAUGUUCUGCCAGCUGUGGAGGGCGAGCAAAUGAAACGUCAUCACAGAAAGUGAGGAGCAGACAGCUGCAGCAAACAGAGCGACUGACUACCAGCAUUGAAAGAGGACAGAGUCAACCUACAGGCUAUCAAUCAUGAAAUAUUUUUAGCUCACAGCCAUUUUAUGGAAUAAUACAUAGUAUUAUGUUAAAUGGAUAAAAAUUAUGGCUGUCAACACACUAUUGUCACACUACACUGUUAAUGCAUUCCUGUUAAUUUGUGCUGAUGAUAUACACUUAAUGGAUUAGUCAUGGUAAUACCACUAUUACUACUAUUACUACUACUAAUUUAAAAAAUUACAUUUCAUAAAAACAUUAUUAGGGCAUUGGUUGGUUUUUGUGACAAGUUAAAGACAUCCCAGGUUAUUAAUUUUAGAUCUUUUAAUUUUGCACAGUCAAAAAAAUUCUCACUCAGCAUGUUGUAAUUAUUCACCAUGUUUUACAAAUGUUUGCUGUAGUGAAGUGUUAAGCAGAAGGUGCUGUAGAAGUCUGGAAAGUAAGCUGGCAAUGUGAUGCACAGGUGGUCAAAAGGAAGAGAUCAGAAAAAUAUACAAAUACAUUCAGAAAUGAAAGUUUUGACCAUUUACAGAUACAAAAGGAAUGAAAAGAGCCUUAAAGGAAGUACUUUUUAGACAGCCUUUGCUUAACACUAAGUGAGGAACUGUCACACAUUACAUCUAAACUUAUCAUUAGCAACAGCAGGGUAUAAAAAUAAUGAAGGAGCACUCAUAGCAAUAAGAGUUUAAUAAUAAGAGUUAAAGAAGACAGUUUACAAAUGAUUAAAAAUUAACAUUUUUCUUUUUUCGUUUAUGAGUCAUCUUUCAUUCAACUGAGACUGGCAUGUUGGAAACUACAGCACAUUACUGUUCCAGGCUUCGGGCUUAUAGACUUAGCUAACACACUUCCUGUUAUAGAUGUACAUUAUACUGCCAGAGGGAACAUAAACAAUAAUCUUCUUAAGGCGUGAGCUGCCCUGUGAGCAAUAAUAGCAAGUCCUUACUCAAGCAAUUUAGUGUAUCUCACAAUGAGAACUGGAACCAUAAUGUUGUAAGGUACUGUACUGUACUCUCCUUUUCAGUCAUUCGGUGUGUGAUGUACGUGUUUUAAUCAGUAUUGCUUAAAAUAGUAUUUGAUUUUGGGCUAUAAACCUUUAUACAAGUAUGUAGUCCUUUGCUUUUAUUUUGACUUAAGUUGUAAUUAUUUUGUCCUUUCUCUGUAAGUUCACUGUGAUGCAACCUUGAGGCUCUGAAUUCCUUAAAGUUAUUUCACAGCAUGCAUUUUAAUUACAUCUGUGCUUUUUUUCUACUCUAAUAUUUUAAAUGACAGUUAACUGGUAAUUGGUUUUAAAUGAAAACUCUCCACUCUUGCAGCCUUUUCCUCAACAUCAGGCAGUCAUCUGCUGCGCAUUAGUUAGCACACAAACAGAUCAACCGGUAAUAAUCUCUGAGAUACUGAGGGGCUGCUUGAAUAUUGUGAAAGCUAACACCAAGAGAAAGAGGCAGAGCAGGAAUACACGCUACGUCUUCACACAUCUGUAAAGACUGAAAUGUCUGUCUGCAAUUUAUUCAUUUAACUCCUCCCAGAUUUUCAAGCUUUAGCCAGUUCGCAUUGGAUUUCAAACACUCAGAUUUUGUUUUUUGUUUUUUUAAAUAAUAAGUUGUCUAUCCCAAAGGAAUUGUGUAGAACUACAGUGGUAUCCAAAAGCCAAAGGUCAAAGUUAUGUGUGGUCACGCACAACACAGUUUUCUUUCCGAGGAUAGGGUUUCCAGUGCCCUUUGGAAUAUGUAAUACCAGUCACAUCCUCACACAGCAUGUAUAGACACUAGGCAGCUGACUUUGACCCCUGGCUGAUAGUAGAUUAUCUUUUUCUGUUCAAGUUCAGAUGACCCUCAUAGAGAAGGUCACAGAAGCUCCAUGUGGUCUGUCCAAGUACAUAAAUCUAAUUAUUUUUUUAUCUUGCGUCUGACGAGAGAUUCUACCUCAAGACAUCGAUGUCAGAUCUGUGAUCAUUAUCGCUUUAUUCUCUCUGCUGUGCUUUCACUAAUGGCUAAUGGAGUGAUAGGGCGACUGUGUUUAAACUCACUUUGAAAUAAAAGAUCAAAACCAAGAGCUAAUGGAUGGGUUCCUCUUUUAAUUCUUCGGUGCUGUGUCUGGUGUGCGGCUCUUGUUCACUUCUUAAGUCAAAGCAGGAAGAAGCUCCAAGGCCAGGUCUGAAGAGGUUUACAAACCUCUCCUAAAUUCUUCCCUGUGGGUGAAAUCAUGUGAAAGCUGCUUAGGCAGAUUAUCCCUGCCUCGACGGCAGCUGGCAGUGAGAUCCUCGGGAGUGCACCUGACUCAAUACUGGUGGUGACGCAACUGCGCCUGCAGCACAGCGUGCCUCCUCAAUCCUCCAUGACCUUUAGCCCCAGAGGGAAAAGUGCAUCUUGUGGCCCAAAGCAGACAAGAACUCGAUCACAUCAGGAGGUUGCACACACACACACGAUCAGUGUAUUGAACUAGCACUAGGCUAUCAUAAAUACUGCUAUGGUAUAAAUGAGAGGAAAUGCCAAUGGUUGUUGUUUAACCUUAAAUUCUAUUGAAACAGCAUUUUACUGAGCUUGCACAAUUGUAUUCAGUGACCAAUUUAACUACCAACAAGAAUGUCUUUGUUACUGGAAUCAGAUACACUCUUCUCCUUUUCUGACUUGUAGGGAAAUGGAAAAGUUUGUUGUGUUUAGUUGGUAUUUAUAUGGACAUGAAGUCAGUCUAGUACAAUCAACAGGCUUUUCCUGAUUUUACUAAAACAAUUCUUCAUAUUUUUUUAAAAAUUAUACUAAAUACUAACUUUAUUUUAUUUUUUUAAAGUGUUUUUUCUGUGGUAUCAUUAUGGUGUAUGGUAUUAUGAUAAUUCUACAUUAUAGGCUAUUCCAAAUUGUGAAAAGACGUUAUGUUUAUUAGUGACUGUUUGAGUGAAAUUUGCUGGUGUCUGAGUGGUUUCAGAUGCUAAAAUUUUAUAUUUGGAUGGAAAGUGUCACUUUUCUAAAUGAAAUGUUGGCAUUACUGGAAAACAUUCCCUUUCCAAGUAUAUUUUAAUGAGGUCCCCAGUGCACUGUCACCUCAUGAAAACACAAUUCACCAGCAUAAUCCAUGUCCUAUCGCAUUUAGUUUGCAAGUUUUAUUAAUGUGAAAGGAUUCAUUUUCUGUCUUUCACACAGGAUCCUUUGCCAAAUCAAGAAGAAAAAAAAAAAAACUGCCACAGAUGCCUUGCUGAAGCAACUUUAUGCUUUCUCCUUUCAGCUGAUACAAAGGUAAACUAUGGGGCUGUGUGCCUAUGGAAUAGUUUUCUUUCAAGAAAACUACAAUUUUAGGGGCCAUUACACAUCCCACAAAGGUAAAUAAUCCAAGAACACUGUCUAGACAACAGCUGAAACACAUCAAGUCAAACAACAGUAAUCCAAAGAGGAAUCCCUGUACUCUGUCUGUCUGCUGUCAAGCAAGAUAGGAAACAAGGAAAUAUGUAACAAAUAAAAUGUUAACAUUUUCCGUUUCUGUGAAGCAGAAAGACAGAGCUUAAGGACUGCAUGUACAUUGAUCAAAUAUGCCAUGGGGAUGAUUACUGUGCUUUUUGAGUGUGAAGUUGUGAAAUGUAGUUGAAUGUCAGUAACCUGCUCUUUAGAACUGGUGAGUAAUUGUACAAAUGUUAGCAGCUGAAAUACAGUGAGGUCUGUUUCUUCUCAUACUGUCUUUCUUUGUGGUUGAGCAGCUUUACUUUAAAUGUAGGAAAUUUAUCACUAUGGUCAUGUGCUUUCUAUCCUGCAGUUGUUUUAUGGAGUGCUGUCCUGCUAUGAUUAAUGAGCAAUGAAUAAAGUAAUUUAUUGAAACUGUCAA